RNAcentral lists this transfer RNA (72 nucleotides) under Camelus bactrianus (Bactrian camel). It matches the Rfam family "tRNA". Rfam says of the family: Transfer RNA (tRNA) molecules are approximately 80 nucleotides in length. Their secondary structure includes four short double-helical elements and three loops (D, anti-codon, and T loops). Lineage: Eukaryota; Metazoa; Chordata; Mammalia; Artiodactyla; Camelidae. The record is from Rfam by way of RNAcentral. RNAcentral also lists the same sequence under 2 other names.
GAGGGUAUAGCUCAGUGGUAGAAUGUGUGCUUAACAUGCAUGAGGUCCUGGGUUCAAUCCCUAGUACCUCCA